RNAcentral lists this ribosomal RNA (478 nucleotides) under uncultured Alphaproteobacteria bacterium. Its description in RNAcentral is "bacterial SSU rRNA". It matches the Rfam family "Bacterial small subunit ribosomal RNA", at positions 1 to 526 of the family's 1533-position model. Lineage: Bacteria; Pseudomonadati; Pseudomonadota; Alphaproteobacteria. The record is from RNAcentral.
UAGGGUUUGAUCAUGGCUCAGAACGAACGCUGGCGGUAUGCUUAACACAUGCAAGUCGAACGGAUAUAGCGAUAUAUUAGUGGCAAACGGGUGAGGAAUGUAGAGGAAUCUCCCCAGCAGUAAGGAAUAACUUUGGGAAACCAAAGCUAAUGCCAUAUAUCACCGAUUUAUCGGGAAAGAUUUAUCGCUGUUGGAUGAGCCUCUAUCGGAUUAGCUAGUUGGUGGGGUAAUGGCCUACCAAGGCAAUGAUCCGUAGCUGGUCUUAGAGGAUGAUCAGCCACACUGGAACUGAGACACGGUCCAGACUCCUACGGGAGGCAGCAGUGGGGAAUAUUGGACAAUGGGCGCAAGCCUGAUCCAGCAAUACCGCGUGAGUGAUGACGGUCUUCGGAUUGUAAAGCUCUUUUAGUGAGGAAGAUAAUGACGGUACUCACAGAAAAAGCACCGGCAAACUUCGUGCCAGCCGCCGCGGUAAUUC